UACUUUUUUCCAUUCCCUACAAAUCUAAAGCUUAGGAAAAUUAGUACACACCCAUCUACCUUCAUCCUGUUGUGGCAAAGCAGAACAGCUCGGUACUAUACGAGACGCAGCUACUGGGAUUUGAAGAUUUGAGAAUCCGAACGUCACUUGAAGAGGUGGAGAAAAACCUUUAAUUACACUAGCAGGUUCAGUGGAGUUCUCAGAAGCCUAAGCGCUUCUCCGGAAAUGGACGCCUCCUUAGCCCUCAUUGGUUGUUAAGCCUGGCAUCGUAUGGGAACUGAAUGAAUCUUAAAACACCCCGUCUCAUUCAUCCCCACUGCUGAAAAGCUUCUAAAAAGGUCCCUAUUUCACAAAAAGAGACACUUGGAAAAGAUUUUGUACUGUCUUGGCCUGAAUCUCCAAGCACAAAAUCCAGAUUCUUCAUCCAUUAUAAUAAUUGUGGCAAAUCAGAUCCUCCAGAAUACAGAAAUCCCUAGAUAAACAAAGAUUUAAUUUAAAGGAAAGAAAAGGAAGGGGAAAAGCAGGUGAAUUCCAGCCAUCCCUCAUUGAUCAAAUAUUUGGCAAUUUCUGUCAAAGAAAAACUCUACAGCGUGUCCUCAUCCACCUUAUUCAUUGCACCUGGUACCUUGCAACUUCUGGCUCUUCUCCAAAGUCAAAAUGGCUGUGGAAGGCAAAUGUUUUGAAUCGAUUCAGGACAUUGGGGCAGCCAGGACAGUGCAACUAAAGACAAUCUAGAAAGAGGACUUCCAGAGCUGCUUCAGAAAGUGGCAAGAGUAAUGGGAUAAGUGCAUUUGAGGUAAGGAGGAGUAUUUUUAGGGGAGGUUAAUGGUAAU
Molecule: long non-coding RNA, 833 nt
Filed under: Fukomys damarensis (Damara mole-rat)
Lineage: Eukaryota; Metazoa; Chordata; Mammalia; Rodentia; Bathyergidae
Description: lncRNA (ENSFDAG00000026227.1)
Source: RNAcentral